AGAGUUUGAUCCUGGCUCAGAUUGAACGCUGGCGGCAGGCCUAACACAUGCAAGUCGAACGGUAACAGGAAGCAGCUUGCUGCUUCGCUGACGAGUGGCGGACGGGUGAGUAAUGUCUGGGAAACUGCCUGAUGGAGGGGGAUAACUACUGGAAACGGUAGCUAAUACCGCAUAACGUCGCAAGACCAAAGAGGGGGACCUUCGGGCCUCUUGCCAUCGGAUGUGCCCAGAUGGGAUUAGCUAGUAGGUGGGGUAACGGCUCACCUAGGCGACGAUCCCUAGCUGGUCUGAGAGGAUGACCAGCCACACUGGAACUGAGACACGGUCCAGACUCCUACGGGAGGCAGCAGUGGGGAAUAUUGCACAAUGGGCGCAAGCCUGAUGCAGCCAUGCCGCGUGUAUGAAGAAGGCCUUCGGGUUG
This 421-nucleotide ribosomal RNA is filed under the name uncultured bacterium. RNAcentral's name for it is "bacterial SSU rRNA". It matches the Rfam family "Bacterial small subunit ribosomal RNA", at positions 8 to 425 of the family's 1533-position model. The record is from RNAcentral.